This 373-nucleotide ribosomal RNA is filed under the name uncultured bacterium. RNAcentral's name for it is "bacterial SSU rRNA". It matches the Rfam family "Bacterial small subunit ribosomal RNA", at positions 525 to 896 of the family's 1533-position model. The record is from RNAcentral.
ACAGAGGGUGCAAACGUUGUUCGGAAUCACUGGGCGUAAAGCGCGUGUAGGCGGCUAUGUAAGUCGGACGUGAAAGCCCACGGCUCAACCGUGGAAGUGCGCUCGAAACUGCGUAGCUUGAGUCUUGGAGAGGAAGGCGGAAUACUUGGUGUAGAGGUGAAAUUCGUAGAUAUCAGGUAGAACACCAGUGGCGAAGGCGGCCUUCUGGACAAUGACUGACGCUGAGACGCGAAAGCGUGGGGAGCAAACAGGAUUAGAUACCCUGGUAGUCCACGCCGUAAACGAUGAGUGCUAGGUGUCACGAGCUUUGACCCUCGUGGUGCCGAAGCUAACGCGUUAAGCACUCCGCCUGGGGAGUACGGCCGCAAGGCUA